This is a long non-coding RNA of Ficedula albicollis (Collared flycatcher), 498 nucleotides long. RefSeq lists it as uncharacterized. The record is from RefSeq and is a predicted model, not a curated record. The transcript has 3 exons. Lineage: Eukaryota; Metazoa; Chordata; Aves; Passeriformes; Muscicapidae.
CAAGGCCGCUCCAAAGUCCACCUGAAGCCAUUAGAAAGGCACUCUUGAUCUACUGCUCUGAAGAGUUGCCCCCAUCCAUGUGUUCAUCUCUCAGUCUGAAGGAGAACUGCAGGCAGAGAAGACACAAAGAAGCACAAAGAAGACUGAGGGUCUGGAAGCACCAGGAACCCAAGCACACCUGGAAGCAGCUCUGUGAUGCUUUAGACAGUGAUUAUUGCUUAAGACACCAUCUCUUUGAAGAGUAUACUGUGCAAUAAUGCAAUCAUUCUCCAUUUCAGGAAACAUCUGUGUGAGGCACAUCUGCUCCUGAUGGCUGGCAAACAUCCUGACGAGGGGAAUCAUCUUGGCAUCCAGCAAGUGCCACCUCAUUUGUCACCAUGGUGCCUGUGCUGCCCCCACAGUUCCUUCUGUCUCGCUUUCUCUGACCCUUGGCUCUGUAUAAGUUCAUAAAAAAAGGGAUUUGUCUUCACAGCUCCUGCAAUUCUCUUUAUUGCUGAU